This 608-nucleotide ribosomal RNA is filed under the name uncultured bacterium. Its description in RNAcentral is "bacterial SSU rRNA". It matches the Rfam family "Bacterial small subunit ribosomal RNA", at positions 888 to 1498 of the family's 1533-position model. The record is from RNAcentral.
GCAAGAUUAAAACUCAAAGGAAUAGACGGGGACCCGCACAAGCGGUGGAGCAUGUGGUUUAAUUCGACGAUACGCGAAGAACCUUACCUGGCCUUGACAUAGACAGAAGUUUGCAGAGACGCAGAUGUGCUAGUUUACUAGAACUGUCAUACAGGUGCUGCACGGCUGUCGUCAGCUCGUGUCGUGAGAUGUUGGGUUAAGUCCCGCAACGAGCGCAACCCUCGUGUUUAGUUACUAACAGUUCGGCUGAGGACUCUAAACAGACUGCCUGGGUAACCAGGAGGAAGGUGAGGACGACGUCAAGUCAUCAUGGCCCUUACGGCCAGGGCUACACACGUGCUACAAUGGGGUAUACAAAGAGCUGCAAUACGGUGACGUGGAGCAAAUCUCAUAAAAUAUCUCCCAGUUCGGAUUGAAGUCUGCAACUCGACUUCAUGAAGUUGGAAUCGCUAGUAAUCGUAGAUCAGCAAUGCUACGGUGAAUACGUUCCCGGGUCUUGUACUCACCGCCCGUCACACCAUGGGAAUUGAAUUCAUUCGAAGCGGGGAUGCUAAAGUAGCUACCUUCCACAGUGGAUUUAGUAACUAGGGUGAAGUCGUAACAAGGUA